RNAcentral lists this long non-coding RNA (551 nucleotides) under Homo sapiens (human). RNAcentral describes it as "HSALNT0221836". The record is from RNAcentral. Lineage: Eukaryota; Metazoa; Chordata; Mammalia; Primates; Hominidae.
GUGUGGUUAUAAAGGAUCCAUCUCAUCCUCUGGCUUCAAGGCAAGAUAAGUAACCCAGGCCUGCCAAUAAGACCCAGGCAUGAGACUUCUGUUGCAAUCAUUACACUGAGCCUACAAAACUGGGAGAAUGUGAGCCUGGAGUUCUGAUGCCUCACUACGUUGAAAUCUUAUAUUUGAGAAUGAAGACAACACAGAAGAAAAUAGAGUUCAGAGAUGGACAAAAGGGAAUAAAGCCCUGAUCACAUUAUUUGAGCUCCUGAAACCAGCCAUGCCCGAAGUCAGAGAUCCAUUUCCUGGACUUUUCAGCUUUGUGAGCCAAUAACUUCUCAACGUCUUCCCAUUUAUUUGUUUAUUUCAUCUUAUUUUGAUUUGAAUUGGACUUCUGUCGCCUGCUGCCAAAAUAUUCCUAAUAUAAGGGAGACAGACAAAAAGGAAAGAAGCAGCAACCCAGAUAUGGCUGCUAACCCGGCGUCAACCAUGCAGUUGAGAACUGGGCUCUUGGAAUGGCAGAACAAUAACUUGGAAAGAGCCUGGGUCUUGAGGGACUAUGG